CUGCCACUGCCAAUCACCCUCUUCUCUGAGCACCGUAGCACUGCUGGGAUGGGCAUGUUCAAGGCUGCAUCGCACUUUGCCUUUCGAUGGAAUCAAUGAGCCUGGCUCCUCUGCUGUAGACGGAUCUCAGGAUUUAGCAGGCCAGAAGAUAAACAGAGAUGCUUGUUGGGCAGCAAUGGUCCAGAAGUGUUUUAAUGAACUAAGAAGACUUUCCAGAUGGCUGUGUUUGAUGCUGCCAACUCUACCAGAUGGAGAGGGUUCCCUCACCUGUACUAAAUCUGUGCCUCUCUCCAGUUGUUUCCUGUCAAGCUUGGAUUCCUGAAUGAGAUAACACUGGAAGUGGCUGAGUUAAAUGAACAUUUGUUAUUUCCAAUUAUGACUUAAUCCCUGGUUAUGAUUUAUAUCCGGUUUUAUCCUUAAUCCCUUUCUGCUCAUUUACCUUAGUGAAUCAGGUCAAAUCAUUUAUAAACUCAAUAUUUCUCUCCCAUUUUCCUUUAUUUUAGCCAGAGGCCUAAGCCAGAACUAGCUUAGGUAUGAGAAGCUGGUCCCUGGGGUUGCUUUUCCCUGGGCUUCUCUUCGGUGCUGCAUAUUCCUCUGGAUAAAAACAACUCCCAAAAUGAUGGCUCAGCCAAUGCUGUUUUAUAGUCUAGAGUCAGAAGUGAAAAGAGAGUUCCCUGGAGCUAUCUGUCAUCCAUUUUCCCUUCCCAUCAGAGUCUCUAUUGCCAGGUCUCGAAGAAGGGUAUGUGGACCCUCCACUAAACCCAUGUAAAGCUCCUCCCUGAGUUGAGGAAAGGGAGUGUGCAAAUGCCUUCCCAAUUUGGGGUCAGUUGGAACAGUUUCUGCAAGGGCAAUUAUCUUCUCCUCCAUAAAGAACCAAUGUGUGUUUCCUCUAGAAAUUCCCCUCCUCAUAACUCAAGCAAGA
Molecule: long non-coding RNA, 922 nt
Filed under: Aotus nancymaae (Ma's night monkey)
Lineage: Eukaryota; Metazoa; Chordata; Mammalia; Primates; Aotidae
Description: lncRNA (ENSANAG00000039201.1)
Source: RNAcentral